GGAGGGUGCGAGCGUUAAUCGGAAUUACUGGGCGUAAAGCGCGCGCAGGCGGCUGGGUCAGUCGGAUGUGAAAGCCCCGGGCUUAACCUGGGAAUUGCAUUCGAUACUGCCCGGCUAGAGUAUGGGAGAGGGAAGUGGAAUUUCCGGUGUAGCGGUGAAAUGCGUAGAUAUCGGAAGGAACACCAGUGGCGAGGGCGGCUUCCUGGCCCAAUACUGACGCUCAGGUGCGAAAGCGUGGGGAGCGAACAGGGAUUAGAUACCCUGGUAGUCCACGCUGUAAACGAUGAGAACUAGAUGUUGGGAGGGUUAGCCUCUCAGUGUCGCAGCUAACGCGUUAAGUUCUCCGCCUGGGGAGUACGACCGCAAGGUUG
Molecule: ribosomal RNA, 371 nt
Filed under: uncultured organism
Description: partial 16S ribosomal RNA
Rfam family: Bacterial small subunit ribosomal RNA
Source: RNAcentral